This 373-nucleotide ribosomal RNA is filed under the name uncultured bacterium. RNAcentral's name for it is "bacterial SSU rRNA". It matches the Rfam family "Bacterial small subunit ribosomal RNA", at positions 525 to 896 of the family's 1533-position model. The record is from RNAcentral.
ACAGAGGGUGCAAGCGUUGUCCGGAAUCACUGGGCGUAAAGGGCGCGUAGGCGGCCUGGUAAGUCGGAGGUGAAACGCUGCGGCUCAACCGCAGCACUGCCUUCGAGACUGCUGGGCUUGAGCACGGUAGAGGCUGGUGGAAUUCCCGGUGUAGCGGUGGAAUGCGUAGAGAUCGGGAAGAACAUCGGUGGCGAAGGCGGCCAGCUGGGCCGUUGCUGACGCUGAGGCGCGACAGCGUGGGGAGCAAACAGGAUUAGAUACCCUGGUAGUCCACGCCGUAAACGAUGGGUACUAGGCGUCGGGGGGAGCGACCCCCUCGGUGCCGUCGCUAACGCAGUAAGUACCCCGCCUGGGGAGUACGGUCGCAAGACUG